RNAcentral lists this non-coding RNA (24 nucleotides) under Arabidopsis thaliana (thale cress). The record is from RNAcentral. Lineage: Eukaryota; Viridiplantae; Streptophyta; Magnoliopsida; Brassicales; Brassicaceae.
AAGAUCGGGUUGCGGUUUAAGUUC